GGCACGAAAGCAUGGGGAGCAAACAGGAUUAGAUACCCUGGUAGUCCAUGCUGUAAACGAUGUCGAUUUGAAGGUUGUAGCCUUUGAGCCAUGGCUUUCGAAGCUAACGCGUUAAAUCGACCGCCUGGGGAGUACGACCGCAAGGUUAAAACUCAAAUGAAUUGACGGGGGCCCGCACAAGCGGUGGAGCAUGUGGUUUAAUUCGAUGCAACGCGAAGAACCUUACCUACUCUUGACAUCCAGAGAAUUUAGCAG
Molecule: ribosomal RNA, 255 nt
Filed under: Candidatus Curculioniphilus buchneri endosymbiont of Curculio glandium
Lineage: Bacteria; Pseudomonadati; Pseudomonadota; Gammaproteobacteria; Enterobacterales; Enterobacteriaceae
Description: partial 16S ribosomal RNA
Rfam family: Bacterial small subunit ribosomal RNA
Source: RNAcentral